Manihot esculenta (cassava) is the source of this 1050-nucleotide long non-coding RNA. RefSeq lists it as uncharacterized. Lineage: Eukaryota; Viridiplantae; Streptophyta; Magnoliopsida; Malpighiales; Euphorbiaceae. The record is from RefSeq and is a predicted model, not a curated record. The transcript is spliced from 3 exons.
AUUGAAGAAUGUAGAAGAUGAUUCUGUUGACUGGAGCACCUGGAAACUUUGGAAUUAGAUACAAAACAAGAAAAAGGGAAAACAAUGGUGAAAAGAUGCUUGUCCUUGGAAAUUGUUUGAAGGCAAAGAAUGGAAUAAGGAAUACAUUCUCUUUUGUCUCCUUCAGUAAGUUUGGUACUUAUUCAGCCCACAUAGUAUAAAAUAAGAUGGGCCAAGUUCUUUUUCUUCUUCAAUUGGCAUAGGGCAGCCGGCGCUGCACCUACAAAUCCUAAGCAUCUGGGACCCAAUCAAAAGAAAAGAGAAGUAUUGUACUUGCUUCCAUACUAACAUUUGAUGAAGGAAAGACAAUUCUCGCCCUUGACUCCUGCCUCAAUUGGCCAGAUUCUCUUGCCUAACUCACCCCAAAAGCUAGCUCAAGGGAGGAUUGCCUAUGACUCAUAUAAGGGGCACAUUACCCUUUUUCACAACCGACGUGGGAUUCAACGCACCUCUCACGCCCAGACUUUUUUACUGGUGCGUGGCACAUUUAUGGGGCGCCUAACAUUAGAUGGGAGGCUCUGAUACCAUGAAACUUUGAUGAAAGUAUAUAUACUACUUACAAGAGUACACACUAGGAAAAAAUAAAGGUAGCAGUGGAAGAAAAGCUGUUAUAGAUUCUAAGAAUGGGAAUCUUAGAAUCUAACUCAAAGUGAGGCCAAGGAGUCAUUCUCAAGUCAAGAAUUUUGUUAUUCCUCUCUACCCAAAGCCACAAAAAAUGGGUUCCCAGUUCCCACCCAUCUUUUUUUUUUUUGCCCCUUUAGCUUAAUAUAGUGAGAUGCUCUACAGGCAUUCAUGAUUAGUGUUGUGUCCCUAUAAGUUGAGAAUAUUUUCCCUGUUUACAGAUUGCUUAGGUUCAUUUGAGAUGGGGUUUGCAACGAGUAGGUACCAUUUUGCAACUGUGUUCUGCCACUAACUAGUACUCUGUUCCUAGUACUCUGUUCUGUAUUAUUAUCUAUCCCACUUGUAAACUAAGUUCUGAUUUUUGUCCUCUUACACUUUAUUAGGCAUUAA